RNAcentral lists this ribosomal RNA (435 nucleotides) under Escherichia coli. RNAcentral describes it as "bacterial SSU rRNA". It matches the Rfam family "Bacterial small subunit ribosomal RNA", at positions 1 to 432 of the family's 1533-position model. The record is from RNAcentral. Lineage: Bacteria; Pseudomonadati; Pseudomonadota; Gammaproteobacteria; Enterobacterales; Enterobacteriaceae.
AAAUUGAAGAGUUUGAUCAUGGCUCAGAUUGAACGCUGGCGGCAGGCCUAACACAUGCAAGUCGAACGGUAACAGGGAUCAGCUUGCUGAUUCGCUGACGAGUGGCGGACGGGUGAGUAAUGUCUGGGAAACUGCCUGAUGGAGGGGGAUAACUACUGGAAACGGUAGCUAAUACCGCAUAACGUCGCAAGACCAAAGAGGGGGACCUUCGGGCCUCUUGCCAUCGGAUGUGCCCAGAUGGGAUUAGCUAGUAGGUGGGGUAACGGCUCACCUAGGCGACGAUCCCUAGCUGGUCUGAGAGGAUGACCAGCCACACUGGAACUGAGACACGGUCCAGACUCCUACGGGAGGCAGCAGUGGGGAAUAUUGCACAAUGGGCGCAAGCCUGAUGCAGCCAUGCCGCGUGUAUGAAGAAGGCCUUCGGGUUGUAAAGUA